CAACAGGCAUGCUCUCCACGGCAACUUGAUUACUCCGAGCUUCAUCACCACGAUGAGCUGGGCCUAAUCGAGAAUCCCACUACCCAGCAGUGGUCAUUCAGAGCUCAUCAAUGCCCCCCAUCGACCAGUACACAGAGUUCAUGCUGCGCAUUAAAGCUGGUACCAAUGAUGGAAACUUUGAUGUCAGGAGCAGCCACCGAACCCGGAGACAGGGUGGGGGUGGUCGGGCUCGCACAAGAAGCCCCCAAAGGUCGCGGCCGGCGGUGGGGACGGCGCCAGGGCGUGCGUUGGGUGGCGCGGGGUCUCACGAGCAACAGGUAAGGCAAUCACUCCCACCUGUUCGUUGCUGCUUUUGCUCCCCAGUCGGCAUGAGUAGGUUGUGCAUGAGGCCAGUGUGACCUAACUAUCACAGCGAGUGUUCGUCCCCAUCUCCCUCGCUUGUCCUUGAUUGGUUCAGAGAGCAUUUCCAGUUUUGUAGCUUCGUGUUAGCUUGCCCCAGGAGGCGUAGCAUGCGCGUGUGUUACUUUUCACCAACCCGAAAGCUAAGACACACACAGCCAUGGCAUGGCCCCUUGUGAUGAUUGAGGGAGGAGAGAAAGAGUGUCAAAUGAGAUGAUUAAAGGUCCGACCUCAAUGACAAGUAUGAAGAUGACUUGAAUCUUGGUUGAUACUUGGAAGUUGGUGACAUGGAUCUAUCUAUUAAGCAAAAUUGGAACAUGAUCAUGAUGACGGGCAAGAUCGAUUCUGGUGCCAUGUGUUCGAUGAAAGUUCUUUUGGUGGUGUACUUGGAAAGGACAUCCUUUGUUGAAGUUAAUAUGGCGAACUGACAGCCCAAUUAAACCUAUAUCACCCAAUUAAACCAUUCCUUCUUGCUUCCUUGUGCAAAUUUUGUCGUUCAUCAACCAUACACAUAUUUUAUUAUGCAUUUUUUUUAUUGACUAUGCACAUAGAGAUAAAUAUCAUUUACAAAUGUUAUGUAAUUGAUUGGUCCUAACCAUAGUAUCCUUUUC
Molecule: non-coding RNA, 1010 nt
Organism: Musa acuminata subsp. malaccensis (wild Malaysian banana)
Lineage: Eukaryota; Viridiplantae; Streptophyta; Magnoliopsida; Zingiberales; Musaceae
Source: RefSeq, a predicted model, not a curated record